RNAcentral lists this ribosomal RNA (345 nucleotides) under Tetraselmis sp. NK. Its description in RNAcentral is "bacterial LSU rRNA". It matches the Rfam family "Bacterial large subunit ribosomal RNA", at positions 2129 to 2472 of the family's 2925-position model. Lineage: Eukaryota; Viridiplantae; Chlorophyta; Chlorodendrophyceae; Chlorodendrales; Chlorodendraceae. The record is from RNAcentral.
UUUUCUUGCGCAGACUAGGUGGGAGGCUAUGAUCAUUUCUUUCUGGGGAAAUGUGAGCCGUCAGUGAGAGACCACUCUUGAAGAGCUAGAAUUCUAAUGGCGAUCCUUUUAUCAGGACGCUUGACAGUUUCAGAUGGGCAGUUUGACUGGGGCGGUCGCCUCAUAAAAGGUAACUGAGGCGUACAAAGGUUCCUUCAGAAUGGACGGAAAUCAUUCGGAGAGUAUAAAGGUAUAAGGGAGCUUGACUGAAAGACCUACAAGUCGAACAGGGGCGAAAGCCGGUCUUAGUGAUCCGACGGUGCCGCGUGGAAGGGCCGUCGCUCAACGGAUAAAAGUUACUCUAGG